GGCGAACGCUGGCGGCGUGCUUAACACAUGCAAGUCGAACGGAAAGGCCCUGCUUUUGUGGGGUGCUCGAGUGGCGAACGGGUGAGUAACACGUGAGUAACCUGCCCUUGACUUUGGGAUAAUUUCAGGAAACUGGGGCUAAUACCGGAUAGGAGCUCCUGCUGCAUGGUGGGGGUUGGAAAGUUUCGGCGGUUGGGGAUGGACUCGCGGCUUAUCAGCUUGUUGGUGGGGUAGUGGCUUACCAAGGCUUUGACGGGUAGCCGGCCUGAGAGGGUGACCGGCCACAUUGGGACUGAGAUACGGCCCAGACUCCUACGGGAGGCAGCAGUGGGGAAUAUUGCACAAUGGGCGGAAGCCUGAUGCAGCAACGCCGCGUGCGGGAUGACGGCCUUCGGGUUGUAAACCGCUUUCGCCUGUGACGAAGCGUGAGUGACGGUAAUGGGUAAAGAAGCACCGGCUAACUACGUG
This 468-nucleotide ribosomal RNA is filed under the name uncultured bacterium. Its description in RNAcentral is "partial 16S ribosomal RNA". It matches the Rfam family "Bacterial small subunit ribosomal RNA", at positions 28 to 507 of the family's 1533-position model. The record is from RNAcentral.